ACAGAGUUAUAGAAGGAGUUACAGGAAAGCACGAUAAUCCCAAUGGGGGAAACCGAAGUGACCUCGUCUGGAGUCGGGGGUGGUUGGGGCAUUGUUAAAGAGAAACCAAGCUGGACCCUAGGUCAAGGCGGUCAAAGCAGACAUUACUCAGUAAUGACUAGAGAAAGAGAUUUCAAGAUGGACUGAGCUCGAUUCCAAAUACAGCAGUGACAACUGCGGAUGGAGAGCCAGUAAGAAGAGCCAGGGGAUCCGUGGAUAAAAAAAUCACAGAGAGGAGACAUCCAGGGCUGCAGGUUCUUGCCUCAGUGGCCAAACAGGAAUUUUGCUGGAGGCAGGCCAGGGAGUUAGGUGUCCAGGGUGGGGAAUGAGGAGGGUGAUCAGAUACCCAGAUGGGGGAGGGCUCACUAAACAGACUGAGCAAGAUUCUUGCUAAAAUCGCACCUUGGUAGGCCAAGGAAGGGCCCAAGGUCAGGCCCCAACAAGAGGGCUCCCAGGAGGCUUUGGUCAGGAGAGAGACUUGGUCAGAGUGCUUCCUGCAGAAAUGGCAUAUUUGGGCUGCAGAAUAAAAGCCGACAGAAGUUGCACGGCGGCAGAUUUCCAAGCAGAGAGAAGGAACCUUCCCCAGUCCCGCUUCUAAGAACAAAGUCCGGGAGGUGUCAUGUGCGUCUUACCAAUUCACACACCAAAGUCGGCCCCCUCCGAUUCAGUUUGGCAGCUGGCCGGGCCGAGCUACGGGAUGGCACACAGAGACAGCUUCCGACCCUCAGCCUCACCUGUCUCUCAUUCCCACGGCCACCAUAGCCAUCAGCACCUGUAACUUCUCCCAGACUGUCCAGAGAUGCCGCUUUUCAGAGGCGGUGCUAUGAAAUAAAGUCGUCGGCGGGUACUUCGUGGCAACCAGCCCAGCUGUGUCUGCUCAGGUGCCCUUCCUCCUUCUUAGUCUCAUUCUUUUUCUCU
Molecule: long non-coding RNA, 957 nt
Organism: Lutra lutra (Eurasian river otter)
Lineage: Eukaryota; Metazoa; Chordata; Mammalia; Carnivora; Mustelidae
Exons: 4
Source: RefSeq, a predicted model, not a curated record